GAUGAACGCUGGCGGCGUGCCUAAUACAUGCAAGUCGAGCGAACAGACGAGGAGCUUGCUCCUCUGACGUUAGCGGCGGACGGGUGAGUAACACGUGGAUAACCUACCUAUAAGACUGGGAUAACUUCGGGAAACCGGAGCUAAUACCGGAUAAUAUAUUGAACCGCAUGGUUCAAUAGUGAAAGACGGUUUUGCUGUCACUUAUAGAUGGAUCCGCGCCGCAUUAGCUAGUUGGUAAGGUAACGGCUUACCAAGUCAACGAUGCGUAGCCGACCUGAGAGGGUGAUCGGCCACACUGGAACUGAGACACGGUCCAGACUCCUACGGGAGGCAGCAGUAGGGAAUCUUCCGCAAUGGGCGAAAGCCUGACGGAGCAACGCCGCGUGAGUGAUGAAGGUCUUCGGAUCGUAAAACUCUGUUAUUAGGGAAGAACAAAUGUGUAAGUAACUAUGCACGUCUUGACGGUACCUAAUCAGAAAGCCACGGCUAACUACGUG
This 497-nucleotide ribosomal RNA is filed under the name uncultured bacterium. RNAcentral's name for it is "partial 16S ribosomal RNA". It matches the Rfam family "Bacterial small subunit ribosomal RNA", at positions 28 to 507 of the family's 1533-position model. The record is from RNAcentral.